UCGGUGACGAGGUGGCUGCAUGGCUGUCGUCAGCUCGUGUCGUGAGAUGUUGGGUUAAGUCCCGCAACGAGCGCAACCCUUGUCCUUAGUUGCCAGCAUUCAGUUGGGCACUCUAAGGAGACUGCCGGUGUCAAACCGGAGGAAGGUGGGGGAUGACGUCAAGUCCUCAUGGCCCUUAUGUCCAGGGCUACACACGUGCUACAAUGGCCGGUACAAAGGGGCGCAAGACCGCGAGGUGGAGCAAAUCCCAAAAAACCGGUCUCAGUUCGGAUUGGAGUCUGCAACUCGACUCCAUGAAGUUGGAAUCGCUAGUAAUCGCGUAUCAGCAUGACGCGGUGAAUACGUUCCCGGGCCUU
This 356-nucleotide ribosomal RNA is filed under the name uncultured Desulfuromonas sp. Its description in RNAcentral is "bacterial SSU rRNA". It matches the Rfam family "Bacterial small subunit ribosomal RNA", at positions 1027 to 1382 of the family's 1533-position model. Lineage: Bacteria; Pseudomonadati; Thermodesulfobacteriota; Desulfuromonadia; Desulfuromonadales; Desulfuromonadaceae. The record is from RNAcentral.